GAUGAACGCUGGCGGCGUGCCUAAUACAUGCAAGUCGAGCGAAUGGAUUAAGAGCUUGCUCUUAUGAAGUUAGCGGCGGACGGGUGAGUAACACGUGGGUAACCUGCCCAUAAGACUGGGAUAACUCCGGGAAACCUGGGCUAAUACCGGAUAAUAUUUUGAACUGCAUGGUUCAAAAUUGAAAGGCGGCUUAGGCUGUCACUUAUGGAUGGACCCGCGUCGCAUUAGCUAGUUGGUGAGGUAACGGCUCACCAAGGCAACGAUGCGUAGCCGACCUGAGAGGGUGAUCGGCCAAACUGGGACUGAGACACGGCCCAGACUCCUACGGGAGGCAGCAGUAGGGAAUCUUCCGCAAUGGACGAAAGUCUGACGGAGCAACGCCGCGUGAGUGAUGAAGGCUUUCGGGUCGUAAAACUCUGUUGUUAGGGAAGAACAAGUGCUAGUUGAAUAAGCUGGCACCUUGACGGUACCUAACCAGAAAGCCACGGCUAACUACGUGCCAGCAGCCGCCGUAA
Molecule: ribosomal RNA, 515 nt
Filed under: uncultured bacterium
Lineage: Bacteria
Description: partial 16S ribosomal RNA
Rfam family: Bacterial small subunit ribosomal RNA
Source: RNAcentral